UCCAUUUCUCAAAUUUAUUGAAUCCCAAAUCUUUCAAUUCAAAGCUUCAAAAUCUUUCUCUUUAGGGUUUCUUAUCAAUGGAUCUAGAUUCGUUUGAUCGUAAUUCCCUGGGCGGCUGCUUUUUUGCGUUCCGCCAUGGCUUCCUGUUUUUGAUUGAUUAUAUUUAGAUUAAUACUAAUCUAUCAGGAUAUUGUGAUUUCGAUGAUACCCGUUUCCAAUUCGGGUCGUCGAUCUAGCGGAAUCAUAUUCUUUUGUUGAUGAUCUUCGUUAAUCUGAGUUCAAUUCAUUGUUCAAGUGCUGUUGGCGGAUUUUCAAGCGUACGAGGGACUCUGAUUGGCAUGGCUUUGAUGAAAGGAAAGCUUCUGCUAUGGACGAGUUAAUAGCUGAUGUUAAGAUUUAGAAGCUGAAGCGGAAAGGGUUCUUUGAUAUAUAGAUGGUUAAAGGUGUCAAGACUGUGGGUGGAACUACUAUUUGAGAUGGAAGUUCCUCUGUUUCUUAGACAAUCUUUUGUGUCAUUCUGUCUGACCUUUGCCAUGUCAGGUGCGCUUGCUUGGCAGGUCCUUCAUUUAAUAAAGAUACAUUUUUUUUAGGAGGGUGGGAGAGCGCACGGUAUUGACCGGGUUCCCCCCCUCCUGUGUUGUGUGUGUGUGUGUGUGUUUCUUUCUUGCUUCUCUUCCUUUUUCAUGCAUUCCAUCUUCCAUUCGCAUUAAACAUUCUUCAAAAAGGUAAGAAGAGCACUGCACUAAAAAUGCAACCAAAAUAUAGCACCAGAAUACAAAAGGGCCUCCACUUCAAAUUACCAGAUUCCAUCUUUUCCAUAGAAGAACAGAAUACAACUGCUUAGUUGCCCAUGCUUGAUGCAGGUAUCUGCUUGUUAUAUUAAUCAUUGUAUAUUAAAUUCUCCAUUUUAUUGGGUUUUAAUCAAAUGAACCACAAAUUAAAGAUUCUCAUCUUCUUAUACUAUAUAUAGAUUCUCAAAAGAAACCUAUAAUAGUGCUGUUUAUCUCUGACUUAGAACAAGAACACAUCUGUCAUUCAUUAUUGGCUAAACUCAACCAACUAUAUGCUGGUAAUGAGAUCUUAUUUUCUAUGCAAGUGUUCACACAUAAUCAUUGUACAGGGUUGCAAAGGCUGAGUUGAAAGAAAUCUACAAUUCUUUCUCUGCAAUGAGCGACUUUAGGGAGUUGAGUGACGUCCAUACGAAAACCCUUCUAACUUCAAUGAUGAUCAUCAAAUUUGUUCAAGUUGUUUUUCUUUAUAAUCAGAAGAUGGGUUUUCCAACAUUCUAAUAGAUAUUGAGAAAGAGAAAGAACUAAUUUGUAAUUUAAUUAUGGUGUUCAGCAGUUGACUUUGGAACUUCUUCUAUUGCAAAAAUUCCAGCACCGGGGCAUAUUUUGUUGCACUGGUUAUGAGAUCAAAUUUCUUCAUUUGUUGUUUAUUAUUCAUCUGCAUAAUCUUACUUAACUUCUUUUAUAAUUCUGAAUAGGUAUUCAGUCAAUUAUAUUAAUGUUUCUCUUGGUGGAGUAGUCUCCAACUCUAGUCUCUUAUCUGAAUACAAUUAUUUUAGUGGGCUUUUGAAGAGUUUUUAUUUUUGUCAAUGUUAUAUAUUAUAUUCGGAAAAUUCCAAUUACGGGAGUGGGGCUGUAGUGUUGUAAAUCUUGGACCUUUGUUGCUGGUUCACAAGCAAGCAUAUGAGGAUUUCUGUUUCUUGGUCUAGAAGAUUUCAAUUUCAUAUGCUGAAGUUAUUGAUGCUGAAUCAGACAACUUUUGAGGAUGAGAACUUCAACUUUUAAGGCACUAAGGUUGAGACAUUAGAAUCAACCUGAAGGUCCAUGGUGAUCCAACUGCACAUCAUGUUCAAUGGUAAUAACACUAGUACAAGGUUCCAUGGCGAUCCAAACUAAACAGCACUAGUAAACGAAGUAGGGCAAUCUCUUCUUGGGUGCAGGGACAAUCAGGAGAAAACCAGGGUGUAAUUAAUUUUUUGGGGGGUUUGAUGGUUUCAUUGUUGGGCAUGAGAAGGAAGAGCAGAAUGAAUUAAAUUUUAGCCUUGGAGUCUGGACUGGUUCCAAAUUUUGGUUAAUUCUCCUCCUAUCAUUAAAUAUCUUAUUCAUUGAAUUUUUAAGACUUUUGGUUCAGAUUUAUUAUUGUUAUGAUGAUGAAAUAAGUAUAAUGAAUGGUUUAUAAGAUUAUGCAAGGAUUGCAUUACAUACUGUUGUAGGUCCGUAAGCUCUAAAUGG
This is a long non-coding RNA of Impatiens glandulifera, 2240 nucleotides long. RefSeq lists it as uncharacterized. The transcript is spliced from 3 exons. The record is from RefSeq and is a predicted model, not a curated record. NCBI's taxonomy places the organism in Eukaryota, Viridiplantae, Streptophyta, Magnoliopsida, Ericales, Balsaminaceae.